Molecule: ribosomal RNA, 440 nt
Filed under: uncultured bacterium
Lineage: Bacteria
Description: partial 16S ribosomal RNA
Rfam family: Bacterial small subunit ribosomal RNA
Source: RNAcentral
CCUACGGGAGGCAGCAGUGGGGGAUAUUGCACAAUGGGGGGAACCCUGAUGCAGCGAAGCCGCGUGGGUGAAGAAGCGCCUCGGCGCGUAAAGCCCUGUCAGCAGGGAAGAAAAUGAAGGUACCUGAAGAAGAAGCCCCGGCUAACUACGUGCCAGCAGCCGGGGUAAUACGGAGGGGGCAAGAGUGAUCCGGAUUUACUGGGAGGAAAGGGGGCGCAGACGGCGAUGCAAGCCAGGAGUGAAAGCCGGGGGCCCAACCCCGGGACUGCUCUUGGAACUGCGUGGCUGGAGUGCAGGAGGGGCAGGCGGAAUUCCUGGUGUAGCGGUGAAAUGCGUAGAUAUCAGGAGGAACACCGGUGGCGAAGGCGGCCUGCUGGACUGCAACUGACGUUGAGGCCCGAAAGCGUGGGGAGCAAACAGGAUUAGAUACCCCAGUAGUC